GACGAACGCUGGCGGCGUGCCUAAUACAUGCAAGUAGGACGCACAGCCUAUACCGUAGCUUGCUACUCCAUAGGCUGUGAGUUGCGAACGGGUGAGUAACGCGUAGGUAACCUGCCUAUUAGAGGGGGAUAACUAUUGGAAACGAUAGCUAAUACCGCAUAACAGUAUGUAACACAUGUUAGAUGCUUGAAAGAUGCAAUUGUAUCGCUAGUAGAUGGACCUGCGUUGUAUUAGCUAGUAGGUAGGGUAAAGGCCUACCUAGGCAACGAUACAUAGCCGACCUGAGAGGGUGAUCGGCCACACUGGGACUGAGACACGGCCCAGACUCCUACGGGAGGCAGCAGUAGGGAAUCUUCGGCAAUGGGGGGAACCCCUGACCGAGCAAACGCCGCGUGAGUGAAGAAGGUUUUCGGAUCGUAAAGCUUCU
Molecule: ribosomal RNA, 427 nt
Filed under: Streptococcus anginosus
Lineage: Bacteria; Bacillati; Bacillota; Bacilli; Lactobacillales; Streptococcaceae
Description: bacterial SSU rRNA
Rfam family: Bacterial small subunit ribosomal RNA
Source: RNAcentral